RNAcentral lists this transfer RNA (87 nucleotides) under Ricinus communis (castor bean). It matches the Rfam family "tRNA". From Rfam's summary of the family: Transfer RNA (tRNA) molecules are approximately 80 nucleotides in length. Their secondary structure includes four short double-helical elements and three loops (D, anti-codon, and T loops). The record is from Rfam by way of RNAcentral. Lineage: Eukaryota; Viridiplantae; Streptophyta; Magnoliopsida; Malpighiales; Euphorbiaceae.
GGAGAGAUAGCCAAGUGGUUUAAGGCAUAGCAUUAGAACUGUUAUUUAGACUUUUAUUUACCGAGGGCUUGAAUCCUUCUCUUUAUG